CCUACGGGAGGCAGCAGUGGGGAAUUUUGGACAAUGGACGCAAGUCUGAUCCAGCCAUGCCGCGUGCGGGAAGAAGGCCUUCGGGUUGUAAACCGCUUUUGUCAGGGAAGAAACGCUCUGGGCUAAUACCCUGGGGUAAUGACGGUACCUGAAGAAUAAGCACCGGCUAACUACGUGCCAGCAGCCGCGGUAA
This 193-nucleotide ribosomal RNA is filed under the name uncultured Roseateles sp. RNAcentral describes it as "partial 16S ribosomal RNA". It matches the Rfam family "Bacterial small subunit ribosomal RNA", at positions 338 to 523 of the family's 1533-position model. The record is from RNAcentral. Lineage: Bacteria; Pseudomonadati; Pseudomonadota; Betaproteobacteria; Burkholderiales; Sphaerotilaceae.